GGUUUGCGGAUUGCUGCCUGAAGCCCGGGGAGCGCAGCGGGAGUUGGCGCUGCACUCCCCGGGCUGCAGGCUGCUAUCCGCAAGCC
Podarcis lilfordi (Lilford's wall lizard) is the source of this 86-nucleotide non-coding RNA. The record is from the annotation of a GenBank genome assembly. NCBI's taxonomy places the organism in Eukaryota, Metazoa, Chordata, Lepidosauria, Squamata, Lacertidae.